AGGACGAACGCUGGCGGCGUGCGUAACACAUGCAAGUCGAACGAGUGCAGCAAUGCACGAGUGGCGGACGGGUGAGGAACACGUGGCUACCAACCUGACACUGGGGAAUACCCGUGGGAAACCACGGCUAAUACCGCAUACGCCCGCAAGGGGAAAGGCUUAGGCCGGUGACAGACGGGGCUGCGCCCGAUUAGCUAGUUGGUGGGGUAAUGGCCUACCAAGGCGACGAUCGGUAACUGGUCUGAGAGGAUGGCCAGUCACAUUGGGAUUGAGAACGGCCCAAAUCCCUACGGGGAGCAGCAGUGAGGAAUAUUCGGCAAUGGGCGCAAGCCUGACCGAGCGACGCCGCGUGCGGGAAGACGCUUCUCGGAGUGUAAACCGCUUUUCUCUGUGACGAGACAGGACGGUAGCAGAGGAAGAAGUCUCGGCUAACUACGUGCCAGCAGCCGC
Molecule: ribosomal RNA, 450 nt
Filed under: uncultured bacterium
Lineage: Bacteria
Description: SSU rRNA
Rfam family: Bacterial small subunit ribosomal RNA
Source: RNAcentral